AACGAACGCUGGCGGCAGGCUUAACACAUGCAAGUCGAGCGCAUCCUUUGGGGUGAGCGGCAGACGGGUGAGUAACGCGUGGGAACGUACCCUUUCCUACGGAAUAGCUCCGGGAAACUGGAAUUAAUACCGUAUACGCCCUUAGGGGGAAAGAUUUAUCGGGGAAGGAUCGGCCCGCGUUGGAUUAGCUAGUUGGUGGGGUAAAGGCCUACCAAGGCGACGAUCCAUAGCUGGUCUGAGAGGAUGAUCAGCCACAUUGGGACUGAGACACGGCCCAAACUCCUACGGGAGGCAGCAGUGGGGAAUAUUGGACAAUGGGCGCAAGCCUGAUCCAGCCAUGCCGCGUGAGUGAUGAAGGCCUUAGGGUUGUAAAGCUCUUUCAGUAGGGAAGAUAAUGACGGUACCUACAGAAGAAGCCCCGGCUAACUUCGUGCCAGCAGCCGCAGUAA
Molecule: ribosomal RNA, 449 nt
Filed under: uncultured bacterium
Lineage: Bacteria
Description: partial 16S ribosomal RNA
Rfam family: Bacterial small subunit ribosomal RNA
Source: RNAcentral